GAUCCUGGCUCAGGAUGAACGCUAGCUACAGGCUUAACACAUGCAAGUCGAGGGGCAGCGGGAUUGAAGCUUGCUUCAAUUGCCGGCGACCGGCGCACGGGUGAGUAACGCGUAUCCAACCUUCCGUACACUCAGGGAUAGCCUUUCGAAAGAAAGAUUAAUGCCCGAUGGUUUCAAGGGAUUGCAUGGUAUCUUGAAUAAAGAUUCAUCGGUAUGCGAUGGGGAUGCGUUCCA
RNAcentral lists this ribosomal RNA (234 nucleotides) under uncultured bacterium. Its description in RNAcentral is "partial 16S ribosomal RNA". It matches the Rfam family "Bacterial small subunit ribosomal RNA", at positions 15 to 240 of the family's 1533-position model. The record is from RNAcentral.